This is an RNA transcript of Haliotis rufescens (red abalone), 490 nucleotides long. RefSeq lists it as uncharacterized. Lineage: Eukaryota; Metazoa; Mollusca; Gastropoda; Lepetellida; Haliotidae. The record is from RefSeq and is a predicted model, not a curated record. The transcript is spliced from 3 exons.
GCACGGGCAUGGUGCUGACAAACCUACAAAUAUAAUAUAUGAACAUGAGCUAUGUGUGACAAGGAAAGCGACCAUGACAUGAUGCCUAUCCCUGACAUGGGAACCAAGCAUAUGCCACGCCGUUAUCUGCAGGGAGUGCAGUUUGUUAUCAACAAUACAUAUCUUGGACGCCUAAUUGUUAAGCUCAAGUCAAGUAGGGGGACGAGUCUUCUUGCAGGUUACGAAAAGGGGCGAGUGGUGACGAAUGACGUGUUGCAUUUGCUUCCAGCACAAUGAAAGUCCUCCUACUGGUCGUCCUUGUUGUUUCCCUGGCUAUAAUGGCGUCAACAGCACCUGCCAAGGAGAGAAGUCUUUUGGGCGACAUUCUUAAUAAGCUCAUACCUACCUCGGGAUGUGCAGUCCCAAUCAACUGUCUUGUGCCACCUUGUCCGUGCCUCAUAGGAUGACCUGAUUCUGUGUUGAUGCAAAGCAAAUAAAUAUCGUAAACGAU